Non-coding RNA from Podarcis lilfordi (Lilford's wall lizard), 6023 nucleotides. NCBI's taxonomy places the organism in Eukaryota, Metazoa, Chordata, Lepidosauria, Squamata, Lacertidae. The record is from the annotation of a GenBank genome assembly.
ACCGCCUUUUGUGCCUCGGUUUUCAAAUGUUUCAGAAGUUGAACAGUCUUCUGGAACGGAUUAUGCUCAAAAACCGAGGUACUGCUGUAUUUAACAAAAAAUAUGGAAGAAUAAUGAGACCAACUGGAAUCAUUUGAACCAAAGGUUGUCUUCAACUAGCAUUUACUCAGAUUAGACCCAUUGAAAAGAAUGACCAUGACUAUCUUAAGUCCACUCAUGUCUAUGGGUCUACUUUGAGUUAAGGUGGGUUGAAGACAACCCCAAGUAAAUAUAUGACAUUGUUAUAUAUUGAGUCAGACCACUGAUGCAUCUAGCCUGGUCUUAGGAACUUUCACUAGCAACGAGUUUCUGGGGUGUUAAGCAGAGGUCUCUACUAGUCCUCCUACAGUAUGUGAGGUCACUUAAGUCGUGGUGGAGAACUUUUGGUCCUCCAGCUGUUGUUGGACUCCCACCACCCUUGACAACUGGCAAUGUGAGUAGCGCUGUGGUCUAAGCCACUGAGCCUCUUGGGCUUGCCGAUCGGAAGGCCAGCAGUUCGAAUCCUUCGGGGUGAGCUCCUGUUGCUUUGUCCCAGCUUCUGCCAACCUAGCAGUUUGAAAGCACGCCUGUGCAAGUAGAUAAAUAGGUACCACUGCGGCAGGAAGGUAAAUGGCGUUUCUGUGAGCUCUGGCACUCGUCACAAUCCUCUGUGUGCCAGUAGCGGUUUAGUCAUGCUGGCCACAUGACCCUGAAAGCUGUCUGUGGACAAACACCGGCUCCCUUGGCCUGAAAAGCGAGAUGAGGGCCGCAGCCCAUAGUUGCCUUUGACUGGACUUAACAGUCCGCUGCCUUGCGAUGCUGCAAGUUGGAGUCUCAUAACAUCUGGAAGGCCACAGGCUUCCUGUGCCUGAGUAAAAUGUAUAUCCAUCCCCCCCUCUCUUUUUGGGGGGAAGGGAAGUAAGAAGCAAGGUUGGUUAGUGGAAUCACAAGUCUCCAGCUAUUUUGGUGGGAAUGUGCUUUCAUCGGUAUAAGAAGAGCUGGUAAGUGGCUUCUAGCUUUACUGUUCACAUUAAAUUGUAAAUGGAGUGCCCAAUAGACACCAGCCCCACUUGUUUCACUCGCUCUCAUGUAAUCUGAUUGCUUGGAAAGAUCAAUGCAACAAAUUAUAAGGCAUCUUUGAAGUCACUAUUUGAUCAGAUAUGAAAUAUGUCAUGGCUGGUAAAAAAAGCAUCUUUAUGUACUACUGCAUUUUGUUCUAUUAAGCAGCCAUUGGCAGUAUGAAUGAGCCGAGCAGCUCUAACAUUCAGAAUAUCUGCCCUUUGUCUAUAGCAUGCAAUCUAUUUUCAUUCAUUUUCUUUACAGACUUAAAUGAGCAGAUGUAAUUCGGUUUAGAUAAUGCAUCACAGCUGCAGUAGGCAGGAAAGAAUGGGAGAAAGUAAUUGUUCCUGAAAGGAGGAUACAAAUGAAUCAAAUGCGUCGUAUUUGUGCAAUUCAACUUGGAAUUUCUCUCUGUCAACUAGGAUGGAGUAUGCAUAGCAACAAAUCUUUCCCCAUUACAACUGUGUUGUAAUGUAAAACACAAGGUUGAAUGGAUGAAAGAGUGUCCUUCUCACGUCUAAUAACAGAAUGAAGCGUGUCCCCCCUGUUUUACCCUUCUAUGCUUUUUUUUCCUGUUACAGUAAACAGAGCCACAUUAAUUUCCACUGAGACUGAAUCAACCGCUAAUCUGUCUAGUUUUUGGAUUUGUCCCUGUAGGACUUCAGGUUGCAAGCUGUUUCUGGUAAUGUCUUCCUCGUGUUUACUCAAAUGCAGUGUAUUGAAAUGCCCUUGGCGUAUUUAAAUGCAUUGCAAAAUGCUUCAAGUAAGGUAGGCAUCCCCUUGCCUGAACUAUGGCUUAGCAUGAAUGCGCAAAGCAUGUAGUUUCCAGGCUAGGAGACGAUGGCCACAGUGCUCUUCCUUCAUUCUCCCGCUGCUGCACUACCACGGUUUGGCUUAUUGUGUCAUCUGAACCUGGUUUGUCAUGGUUUGUCUCCUCUGGAAAAACCAAGUUGCAAAUCAAGAAUAAAUCUUAGUUACCGCUUAUGGUUUGUACUUUUCCAGACAAACCACAAGCCCAGGUUAGGAGGACAUGCUAAUCGUUGCAGCAUGGAGGCAGAAGGGCCAGGGGAAAAGCAGUAGCUGCGAUCUCUUCUCCAGGGAUUUGCGUGGUCACCUGUUCUCAUAAAGGGUUAUGUGAAAACUGGGUCACGGUAUAUAUUACCAUUCAGCUCCUCGAGUGGUAUAUCUAGCAGUAAAAGGGGCAAAGUGCGAUGAGCAAUGCAAUAAUAAAGAGAGGAGGACUCAACAGUGCUGUGCAAAUUAUGUACUAGGCCCAAGUCAAAUCUUUUGCCUCUUCCUCAGGUGCAAUGUGCUUAAUCCAUUCAGCAGAUAACUAAGACUAUCCUCUAGACCAGUGGUAGGUAAGCUUCAGCCCUCCAUAUGCUGCUGCAACUGCCUCCCAUCAUCCCUGGCCAUUGGGCUAUGAUGGCUUGGGCAGAUGUGAGCUGGAGUCAAGUGACUACUGAGCCAAGCAGAUAAGUAACUAUAGAACCUUUAGAAGACACCUGAACUUAUUUUACCGCUCAACUUAUUUUACCGCUUCUAUCAAAAUUUAUACCCCUUCAAUAUUAUUUGGAAUCCUCCCCUGAAAUUCUUCGAAAAUACCUCCUGGAAGAUUCCUCAAGCUCAGUAUCAUAUGAGGUGGCUAAAUUUUGCACUUUAGUAAUUAAGAAACGUAAAUCUCUUCUGUUGAAUGGCACACUGCGAAGUUCCCUUGUGUAACCUUUUUUCUUUUCUGAAGUUGUUGCUGAUUUCUUGUUGUCUGAUCUUGGGAUGUUUAGUGUCACUGGCUUUGGCCGCAAUAAACUUGGACUUGCUUGGAAAGCAGCCCUAUAUAGGGUUUUUGUUUUCUUUUGUUUUGUUUUUUGAGACGCGGGUGGCGCUGUGGGUUAAACCACAGAGCCUAGGGCUUGCCGAUCAGAAAGUCAGCGGUUCGAAUCCCCGCGACGGGGUGAGCUCCCGUUGCUCGGUCCCUGCUCCUGCCAACCUAGCAGUUCGAAAGCACAUCAAAGUGCAAGUAGAUAAAUAGGUACCGCUCCGGCGGGAAGGUAAACGGCGUUUCCGUGCACUGCUCUGGUUCACCAGAAGCAGCUUAGUCAUGCUGGCCACAUGACCCAGAAGCUGUACGCCAGCUCCCUCGGCCAGUAAAGCAAGAUGAGCGCCACAACCCCAGAGUUGUUUGCAACUUGAACUAACGGUCAGGGGUCCCUUUACCUUUUUAUAGGGUUUUUUAGUCUUUUAAUAUUGUUGGAAGCCGCUCAGAGUGGCUGGGGCAACCUAGUCAGAUGGGUGAGGUAUAGAUAAUAUAAUUAUUAGUAGUGGUGGUAGUAGAAUGGAAUAGGAGGUCCCUAUUUUCAUUGGAGAAAUGUUGAAGGGUAUGAAACAACACAUAGAAGGCCACAAGUUUCCCAUACCUGAGUUAAAAGUAUAUUUAUCCCCUCCUUUAAAUAUAAAGGAAGGAAGGAAGGAGUGUUGGUUAGUGGCAUCGCAGUGGUUCACAGCCAGCACAGCCAGUUUCUGCUAUAAAAACACAUCUGCUGUAAACUGGCUUCCCCUGAGCCCAGUCCUGGAGAAAAGUUAGUUGCGCAAAUGCACUUCUACAAAUUAUCUGAAGUGCUGGAGGUGGUAUGUGCCUCUCAAAACUAGCUGCUGGGAAUCACAAGAUGGGGAAGCACUAUUGCACUCAGGUCUGGCUUGGGGAUUCACCAUAGGGAUCUAGCCACAUGAUGGUGGACUAGCUGAGUCUUUUAUCAUACCAUCUUCAUUACUCACAGGAUCCUCAGUCUCACCACAGUCCUCUGCUUCUUUUCACCAGCAGCAUCAAGGAAGUGGAGCUCAAAUGAAAGCCCAAUAGCUGCAUUAUCCCUUCCUCUUUUGUAUCUCUACACAGCUAUUAAAAUUGUUUGCUGCCUCUUUCUGAAGAUAAAUCUGCUUUGUUACCUCAGCCCACUUCACUCGUCACAUGAUUUAUUCAUCCAUUGCAUUCAACAUUUGGGAACAGAAGGCCACAAAUCUAAGCAACCCUACGUAGGAGUAAGCACUACAGGACGUGCUGGGACUUACUUCUGAGUAAACACGUUGUAUAGAAUUGUGCUGUAAAGUCAGAGAAAUUUAUAUUCUGGGUUUUUUGUGUGUGUGUGUGUUUUUAAUCAAUGAACACUAAUAACAUAUUUGUAGUAUUGAUCAACAGUUUUCAUACUACGGCGGAACGUCAGGAAAGUAAAUGUGGGAUCAUUAAUGACAAUGUACAUGACUUGCGAGUAAAUUGCCCGGAAGGAAGAAAAACACAAUUGGUGAGUAAUCAUGCUCCUAACCACCUAUAAACACACACACACACACACACACACACACACACACACGCUCUGCAAUCCAAGGGCUCAUCAACUGCAUACAGGUUUAACUUCAGGAACACAUGGUGCUACAGAACCAUUCAAUCUGGGACAAAGCUCAGUUGGUACAGCAUGAGACUCCUAACCUCAGGGUCGUAGGUUCGAGCCCCACAGUGGGCAAAAGAUUCCUGCAUUGCAGGGGGUUGGACUAGAUGACCCUUGUGGUCCCUUCCAAUUGUAUAAUUCCAAUGGGCCCAAAAUAUACCAUAUACAGACGUUGAUUCAGUUCAAUGGUUCCAGUAUUGUGCUUGCUUGUUUGGGAAGCAAUCCGUUUCUACAAUAGCUGCAUAUGCCCACCAUGAACCAUGCGGACAUUACGCUCUAGAAGUAUAGCCUGCAAUGAAACAUUGCAGGUGGAGUGCUCUUGCUCAUGGCUGUCUGGCUAGAAACCUGCUCAUUUAUAGGAUACCCCAUGCCAUUCCCCCCUCUGCCCCCCGUUUCCCAUUCUCCUCCCAACACACAUGUGCCUUCAACAGUCAGCAAUCGAUUGUCCCCAGGCAACUUAGUCCUCACUAGGCUGAUUCGAGAGGGUUCCCCUCAAUAUUCCCCCCUCCCUAAAUAUUGAUGUGUACUUCUGCAAACCUAGGAGUUCCUGAAUGCCUGCUGAUACCCCCUACUUGUGAGUGGAUCCUCAGUUGUGCACAAAACGCAUGGGUUGUGAAAUUGAACCAAAUGUUCUCAAGGGAGGACUGAAAUUCUCAAACAGUUCAGGAAAACAGUUCAGAAAGAAAGAAAGAAAGAAAGAAAGAAAGAAAGAAAUUCAAAGAUAUAUCAGAAAAUUUAUUCUGAGCAAUUCAGCUCAGCUCUAAUUUAUUUAAAUUUAUGCAGGUUGCGUGUAAGUGGAAGACAAACUUUAACAUUCCAAUAAGGGAGUUACACCAGCUACUCUUGGAGGCAGCACCCUGUGAAACCACCCUGGGGAUAAUUUUAUUCCUAAAAGGCAGCUUAGAAAUUUAUUAAAUACACAAGAAUAAAUAAAUAAGAUUCUCACAGAGACCAAACUCAGCUCUCCGUGCCUUUCUCUUUCUCAGCCUUGUUCAAACUGCACUCUCUCUGUUUUGUCUCUUCCUAUGCAGACACCUUGCUCACCCCACCCCAGCUAGAGGGAGAAUCAUCUCUUCUGACCAUCAAGCCUUCUUAGCUCCCACAGAGACACAUCAUUGGAACAUCACAAGCUAUCAACACUCUUUUAUCAACUCUUAAGAUGCUAGCCGGGUAUUGCCUGGGGCAAUCCACACCGAUAGUCUUACUCACAGGAAUCUGAUAGCAAACCCAAGGUAGCAGUUGAAAGGAUAAUAGCACAGGUGAAAGUGGAUUGAUAGCAUGCUAAUAGAGACUUUAGGUCUGGCCUGAACUGUAGAGUUGCUCUGUUCAACAAAUCCUCUGAAUGCCUGGAACAGAGGCAGUACACAUUUUCAGCAUGAGAUGGAGAAAUCCUCACUUUGUGAAUCAUACUGACCCAUUUGUCGGAUAUUGCCUUCAAAUGAAAGUGACCAACAUUACCUAUGUUACAUACUGAGCGUUCAAUGUUUUAUGAAACAUUUUUUUUGAAUGGUG